RNAcentral lists this ribosomal RNA (438 nucleotides) under uncultured eukaryote. RNAcentral's name for it is "eukaryotic LSU rRNA". It matches the Rfam family "Eukaryotic large subunit ribosomal RNA", at positions 972 to 1405 of the family's 3401-position model. The record is from RNAcentral.
CUCAGGAUAGCUGGAACUUUUUUAAAUAGUUUUAUCAGGUAAAGCGAAUGAUUAGAAGCUCUGGGGAUGAAACAUCCUCGACUUAUUCUCAAACUUUAAAUAGGUAAGAUGAUUGCAGUACUUAAUUGACUGUCAGUCUCUUGAAUAGUAAGUUCUUAGUGGGCCAUUUUUGGUAAGCAGAACUGGCGAUGUGGGAUGAACCAAACGUAAAGUUAAAAGUGCCUAAAAGUACGUUCAUCAGACACCACAAAAGGUGUUGAUUCAUCUUGACAGUUGGACAGUGGCCAUGGAAGUCGGAAUCUGCUAAGGAGUGUGUAACAACUCACCAACCGAAUGAAUUAGCCCUGAAAAUGGAUGGCGCUUAAACGUAUUACUUAUACUUUACCAUUAAAAUAAAUGCUAAAUUUUAAUGAGUAGGAGGGCGUAUGGAUAAUUUAG